This is a long non-coding RNA of Vidua chalybeata, 675 nucleotides long. RefSeq lists it as uncharacterized. The record is from RefSeq and is a predicted model, not a curated record. Lineage: Eukaryota; Metazoa; Chordata; Aves; Passeriformes; Viduidae. The transcript is spliced from 3 exons.
UGUUUCCCAGGGGAGAUCCUCCUAGUGCUGCCACAGGGGCAUGAACCAGCUCUGAUGCCACAAGAGAUGGAAACUGGGCAAGCAGGAGAGUUUUUCCAGGGUGGGAUUAAAAUGUAAUCAAUUCCACCAGAGGCCCUGCCUACCAUGGCUGUGCAGGGCUCCCGUCCCACAGCCCUCUAGUCCCCUUCCCCUGCCCACCUCCAUGGAAAACACCUUCACAGGGAGACGCUGGGAGCUUUUAAUAGAAAAUCAGAAGUUUAAAUUGGCACAUCAGCAGCUGAGGGAUGGCAGGAAGUCACCUGGCAGAAGCUCACAUGGGCAGAAUUUUUCCCAAAUGCCAGGCAGACUUCUGGUAGCAGAGGGCUCCUUUUGAACAAUUUCUCAUUGCAACAGCCACAAAAGAGAAGCAAUGACAAAGUCACUGGCUGGUAAGGCUGGCCCUCGCACCGGUCUCCAAUUGCAUCGCUCACCGAAGCACAGCCGCACCCUGGCCCACGGCAGCAAGAAGAUGCCAGCCUUGGGAAGCGUCCAGGGGUUUAUCUGCUGGUGGUGCUGCCCCUGGCUCGGCACAGCCGGCAGGGAGGAGCCCGGGAGUGCCCUGAGCCUCUGUCCUGUGUAAUCUAUAGCGUUUUGCUGGAAGAGAGGGUUGAAGGGUGAAUUAAAGCCUUCUCCUGA